RNA transcript from Manihot esculenta (cassava), 1988 nucleotides. It is a transcript of the gene named monofunctional riboflavin biosynthesis protein RIBA 3, chloroplastic, with no coding region annotated. The record is from RefSeq and is a predicted model, not a curated record. NCBI's taxonomy places the organism in Eukaryota, Viridiplantae, Streptophyta, Magnoliopsida, Malpighiales, Euphorbiaceae. The transcript is spliced from 10 exons.
CUUUUGGAUUACGGCUCUGAAUAGAAACACAAUCCAAAACUAGAGGUGGGCUUUUCUUGUUUACAUGCAUGGCCUGCAACUUCCAAAUCAUGGAGGAACCACCAAGAACCAGAGCAAAUUCUUGAUUUCUACAAACAACAAGCUCAAUCUCUUUAACUGUUUCCUUCCCAUGGACUGUGCCUUUGUUCCUCACAUCUCCUGUCCCCGUAUCCUCAUCCAUUCAAGUUUUCAUCGGAUUUUUGCAGCUCCCAGCAGUGCAGGAACUGGGUUAUACAGACACAGGUUGUUGAGCCGAUGUUGGGGUAUUGGGGUGAGUCCUGGAAUUGGACGUGGAAAUUUUUCUGAUGAUAGUUCUUUGAAGGGAAACGAGAAUGGAUCUCUGCAGCUUAGUACUUUUGAUGAAUCUGCUACAGCACCAUUUGAAACACUUGAUGCUGAAAUUACUCCUGAAACAAUCGAUUUCUUCGUCAGUGACGCUGAAGGUGAUCCUGACUGCCCAUCUCCAGGCUACUCUUCAAUUGAGCAAGCAAUAAGUUCUCUCCGCCAAGGAAAGUUUGUGAUCGUUGUAGAUGAUGAAAAUGGCGAUAUUGAAGGAAACAUUGCCAUGGCAGCAUCUCUUACAAGUCCCAAGCAUGUAGCAUUCAUGGUUAAACAUGGAUCAGGGAUUGUUUCUGUAGGCAUGAAAGAGGAGGAUCUUGAAAAGUUGAAGCUUCCUCUAAUGUCUCCAGAGACAGAAGAUGAAGACUCUUCAGCCCCAACUUUCACCAUCACAGUGGAUGCGAAAACUGGAACGUCCACUGGAGUAUCAGCAGAAGACAGGGCCAAGACAGUUCUUGCUCUUGCAUCUCCUGAAUCGAAACCCGAAGAUUUUCGGCGGCCGGGCCAUGUGUUUCCACUCAAGUAUAGAAGUGGUGGGGUUCUGAGAAGAGCAGGUCAUACUGAGGCUUCUGUAGACUUAGUAAUGCUUGCAGGAUUGCAGCCAGUUUCUGUUCUUUCAGCCGUUGUUGAUCCAGAGGAUGGUUCCAUGACUUCUUUAGCUGGUUUAAGAAACUUGGCAUUAGAGCACAGCAUCCCAAUCGUCUCAAUAACCGAUUUAAUAAGAUACAGGAGAAAAAGAGAAAAUUUGGUUGAAAGAACUGCGAUUUCUCGUCUGCCAACCAAAUGGGGUCUGUUUCAAGCAUACUGCUACAAAUCAAAGCUAGAUGGAACAGAACAUGUAGCAGUUGUUAAGGGUGAUGUUGGAGCUGGACAGGAUGUUCUUGUGAGGGUUCAUUCAGAGUGUUUAACUGGAGAUAUUUUUGGAUCAGCUCGUUGUGAUUGUGGAAACCAAUUGGAUUUAGCAAUGCAAUUAAUCGAACAAGCUGGUAGAGGCGUUGUGGUUUAUCUUAGAGGUCAUGAAGGAAGAGGGAUUGGGCUUGGUCAUAAACUUCGAGCUUACAAUUUGCAGGAUCAAGGCCAUGACACUGUCCAAGCUAAUAUUGAACUUGGUUUAGCUGUCGAUGCACGCGAAUACGGUAUCGGUGCUCAGAUUCUAAGGGACAUAGGAGUUCGAACAAUGCGUCUGAUGACAAAUAAUCCAGCAAAAUUCACAGGAUUGAAGGGAUAUGGAUUGGCAGUGAUUGGAAGAGUUCCAGUGUUGACAUCCAUUACAGAGGAAAAUAAAAGCUCUCUCAAACCCUAGUUACGGCUCGGCUGCUGUUCGCCCACAGGGUUUCAGGCAAUUAGAAAGGUCUAGUUUUAUUGUGGAUUAGUAGCAAUGGCGCCAGCUAAAGCUGACAGUUCAAAAAAGCCUGAUGCAAAGGCACAGGCUGUCAAGGCUGCAAAAGCAGUGAAGUCUGGUCCAACCUUCAAGAAGAAGGCCAGUAAGAUCAGAACUAAGGUUACAUUUCAUCGCCCAAAGACAUUGAAGAAGGAGAGGAAUCCCAAAUACCCUCGCAUUAGUGCUCCACCCAGGAACAAGCUUGAUCAGUAUCAGAUUUUGAAAUUUC